RNAcentral lists this long non-coding RNA (624 nucleotides) under Pan troglodytes (chimpanzee). RNAcentral describes it as "lincRNA". The stretch from base 290 to 384 matches the Rfam family "Pvt1 oncogene conserved region 3". The record is from RNAcentral. Lineage: Eukaryota; Metazoa; Chordata; Mammalia; Primates; Hominidae.
AUCUUUCUAAAGCUCUGAUCAGUCAAGAAGGGGGUUGUAUCAAUCCUCAGAACCCUGAAUGGAACUUUCUACAGGAUUUAUUAGGAGAAAAACCUUCCCGGAAGCUGCAGAAGGACAAAUACAGAAUCCGUGUCUGGGAGAAACCUCGUGGCCUGGUCUCCAUUAUUUGAGAUGAGUUACAUCUUGGAGGUGAGGACGUGCCUCGUGAUCUAAAGCUUCGGCACAAGGGCCCAACUGGAAUUCCACUUACGGGCCUGAUCUUUUGGCCAGAAGGAGAUUAAAAAGAUGCCCCGCAAGAUGGCUGUGCCUGUCAACUGCAUGGAGCUUCGUUCAAGUAUUUUCUGAGCCUGAUGGAUUUACAGUGAUCUUCAGUGGUCUGGGGAAUAACGCUGGUGGAACCAUGCACUGGAAUGACACACGCCCGGCACAUUUCAGGAUACUAAAAGUGGUUUUAAGGGAGGCUGUGGCUGAAUGCCUCAUGGAUUCUUACAGCUUGGAUGUCCAUGGGGGACGAAGGACUGCAGCUGGCUGAGAGGGUUGAGAUCUCUGUUUACUUAGAUCUCUGCCAACUUCCUUUGGGUCUCCCUAUGGAAUGUAAGACCCCGACUCUUCCUGGUGAAGCAU